UACAGAGGUCUCAAGCGUUGUUCGGAUUCAUUGGGCGUAAAGGGUGCGUAGGUGGCUUGGUAAGUCGGAUGUGAAAUCCCGGGGCUCAACCCCGGAACUGCCUUUGAUACUGGUGAUCUUGAGUCCGGGAGAGGUGAGUGGAACUGCGAGUGUAGAGGUGAAAUUCGUAGAUAUUCGCAAGAACACCAGUGGCGAAGGCGGCUGACUGGACAUGUAUUGACGCUGAGGUGCGAAAGCGUGGGGAGCAAACAGG
This 253-nucleotide ribosomal RNA is filed under the name uncultured bacterium. Its description in RNAcentral is "partial 16S ribosomal RNA". It matches the Rfam family "Bacterial small subunit ribosomal RNA", at positions 524 to 776 of the family's 1533-position model. The record is from RNAcentral.